This 253-nucleotide ribosomal RNA is filed under the name uncultured bacterium. RNAcentral's name for it is "partial 16S ribosomal RNA". It matches the Rfam family "Bacterial small subunit ribosomal RNA", at positions 524 to 776 of the family's 1533-position model. The record is from RNAcentral.
UACAGAGGUCCCGAGCGUUGUUCGGAUUCACUGGGCGUAAAGGGUGCGUAGGUGGUGAGGUAAGUCGGAUGUGAAAUCUCCGAGCUCAACUCGGAAAUGGCAUUGGAAACUACCUUGCUCGAGGGUUGGAGGGGGGACUGGAAUGCUUGGUGUAGCAGUGAAAUGCGUAGAUAUCAAGCGGAACACCAGUGGCGAAGGCGAGUCCCUGGACAACUCCUGACACUGAGGCACGAAAGCUAGGGGAGCAAACAGG